GUGAAAUUCUAAAACAACCCCUGUAGAAGGAGAUAUGAGGCAAAAAAUCUAACGUGGGGUCGUGUGAGGUGGGGAGGCCUCAUGGGAACUAGAACUUAAAAGUAUUAGGGGCAGCUCCUGUCCCUUGCAGCCAGUUCUCUAUCCCUGGCUGGGGCUUGUCUUAUGGAAAAGCAGCGUAAACGUACGUACCUAAUAACAGGAUGAGAGAGACCCUAAGAAAAGAAAGCUGGAGGGAUUAUGCAAGUUUAGAGAUGCCGAUUUAAAAAAAGGAUCAAUUAUUAACUAAUGAUAAGUGGAGUAAUGGUUAUAUCCCAGUGUAUAUAUAUGUAUGUAUAAACAUACCCUUAAUUGA
This is a non-coding RNA of Pelobates cultripes (western spadefoot toad), 352 nucleotides long. Lineage: Eukaryota; Metazoa; Chordata; Amphibia; Anura; Pelobatidae. The record is from the annotation of a GenBank genome assembly.